AUUGAACGCUGGCGGCAGGCCUAACACAUGCAAGUCGAACGGCAGCGGGGGGUAGCUUGCUACCCCGCCGGCGAGUGGCGGACGGGUGAGUAAUGCCUGGGGAGCUGCCCAAUCGAGGGGGAUACCAGUUGGAAACGACUGCUAAUACCGCAUACGCCCUGAGGGGGAAAGGUGGGGAUCUUCGGACCUACCGCGAUUGGAUGCACCCAGGUGGGAUUAGCUUGUUGGUAAGGUAAGAGCUUACCAAGGCGACGAUCAGUAUCUGGUUUGAGAGGACGAUCAGACACACUGGAACUGAGACACGGUCCAGACUCCUACGGGAGGCAGCAGUGGGGAAUUUUCCGCAAUGGGCGAAAGCCUGACGGAGCAAUACCGCGUGAGGGAAGAAUGCCUAUGGGUUGUAAACCUCUUUUUUCAGGGAGGAAUAAAAUGACGUGUACCUGAAGAAUAAGCAUCGGCUAACUCCGUG
RNAcentral lists this ribosomal RNA (469 nucleotides) under uncultured bacterium. RNAcentral's name for it is "bacterial SSU rRNA". It matches the Rfam family "Bacterial small subunit ribosomal RNA", at positions 30 to 507 of the family's 1533-position model. The record is from RNAcentral.